CCUACGUGUGGCUGCAGUGGGGAAUAUUGCACAAUGGGGGGAACCCUGAUGCAGCGACGCCGCGUGGGUGAAGGAGUGCUUCGGCAUGUAAAGCCCUAUCGGCAGGGCAGAAGCAAGACGGUACCUGACUAAGAAGCCCCGGCUAACUACGUGCCAGCAGCCGCGGUACUACGUAGGGGGCGAGCGUUAUCCGUAUUCACUGGGUGUAACGGGAGCGUAGACGGCCAUGCAAGCCAGGGGGGAAAGCCCGGGGCCCCACCCCGGGACUGCCCUUGGAACUGUUCGGCGAGAGUGCGGGAGGGGCAGGCGGAAUUCCUGGUGUAGCGGUGAAAUGCGUAGAUAUCAGGAGGAACACCGGCGGCGAAGGCGGCCUGCUGGACCGCGACUGACGUUGAGGCUCGAAAGCGUGGGGAGCGAACAGGAUUAGAUACCCGUGUAGUC
RNAcentral lists this ribosomal RNA (441 nucleotides) under uncultured bacterium. Its description in RNAcentral is "partial 16S ribosomal RNA". It matches the Rfam family "Bacterial small subunit ribosomal RNA", at positions 338 to 795 of the family's 1533-position model. The record is from RNAcentral.